This 496-nucleotide ribosomal RNA is filed under the name uncultured bacterium. Its description in RNAcentral is "partial 16S ribosomal RNA". It matches the Rfam family "Bacterial small subunit ribosomal RNA", at positions 28 to 506 of the family's 1533-position model. The record is from RNAcentral.
GACGAACGCUGGCGGCGUGCCUAAUACAUGCAAGUUGAGCGCUGAAGGUUGGUACUUGUACCAACUGGAUGAGCAGCGAACGGGUGAGUAACGCGUGGGGAAUCUGCCUUUGAGCGGGGGACAACAUUUGGAAACGAAUGCUAAUACCGCAUAAAAACUUUAAACACAAGUUUUAAGUUUGAAAGAUGCAAUUGCAUCACUCAAAGAUGAUCCCGCGUUGUAUUAGCUAGUUGGUGAGGUAAAGGCUCACCAAGGCGAUGAUACAUAGCCGACCUGAGAGGGUGAUCGGCCACAUUGGGACUGAGACACGGCCCAAACUCCUACGGGAGGCAGCAGUAGGGAAUCUUCGGCAAUGGACGAAAGUCUGACCGAGCAACGCCGCGUGAGUGAAGAAGGUUUUCGGAUCGUAAAACUCUGUUGGUAGAGAAGAACGUUGGUGAGAGUGGAAAGCUCAUCAAGUGACGGUAACUAACAAGAAAGGGACGGCUAACUACGU